GGGAGCCAGCCCCUGGUGACCUCACUGAGCAGCAUGGAGCUAGUAAACCCACCACUCCGCAUCCCAGCCUGUCACUCAGCGCUGCCGAGGCACUGUUAUCGCCACCGCUGUCGCCACCGCUUUAUCCCCAUGUCGAACCAGCACUUAAUGCCUGUGCAGACAUUUAAAUAUUAAAGCGAUGCCGUUUCUGGGCCAGGACUGGCGAUCUCCUGGAUGGAGCUGGGUUAAAACGGAGGACGGCUGGAAGCGCUGUGAGCCCUGGCGGCAGGACCUGGACCGAGAGAGCACCCAGCGCAGCGUCCCGCACGGCA
Long non-coding RNA from Myotis brandtii (Brandt's bat), 311 nucleotides. RefSeq lists it as uncharacterized. The record is from RefSeq and is a predicted model, not a curated record. The transcript is spliced from 2 exons. Lineage: Eukaryota; Metazoa; Chordata; Mammalia; Chiroptera; Vespertilionidae.